GCGGGAUUAGUAUAAUGGCAGUACGUUUCCUUCCCAAGGAAAAGGUGCGGGUUCGAUUCCCGUAUCCCGCU
RNAcentral lists this transfer RNA (71 nucleotides) under Candidatus Parcubacteria bacterium. RNAcentral's name for it is "tRNA-Gly". It matches the Rfam family "tRNA". From Rfam's summary of the family: Transfer RNA (tRNA) molecules are approximately 80 nucleotides in length. Their secondary structure includes four short double-helical elements and three loops (D, anti-codon, and T loops). Lineage: Bacteria; Candidatus Parcubacteria. The record is from RNAcentral.